GACGAACGCUGGCGGCGUGCUUAACACAUGCAAGUCGAACGGAAAGGCCCUGCUUUUGUGGGGUGCUCGAGUGGCGAACGGGUGAGUAACACGUGAGUAACCUGCCCUUGACUUUGGGAUAACUUCAGGAAACUGGGGCUAAUACCGGAUAGGAGCUCCUGCUGCAUGGUGGGGGUUGGAAAGUUUCGGCGGUUGGGGAUGGACUCGCGGCUUAUCAGCUUGUUGGUGGGGUAGUGGCUUACCAAGGCUUUGACGGGUAGCCGGCCUGAGAGGGUGACCGGCCACAUUGGGACUGAGAUACGGCCCAGACUCCUACGGGAGGCAGCAGUGGGGAAUAUUACACAAUGGGCGUAAGCCUGAUGCAGCCACUCCGCGUGCGGGAUGACGGCCUUCGGGUUGUAAACCGCUUUCGCCUGUGACGAAGCGUGAGUGACGGUAAUGGGUAAAGAAGCACCGGCUAACUACGUG
RNAcentral lists this ribosomal RNA (468 nucleotides) under uncultured bacterium. RNAcentral's name for it is "partial 16S ribosomal RNA". It matches the Rfam family "Bacterial small subunit ribosomal RNA", at positions 28 to 507 of the family's 1533-position model. The record is from RNAcentral.